UCCGGCUUAUCACCGGCAGUUUCCUUAUAGUCCCCGGCCGAACCGCUGGCAAAUAAGGAUGAGGGUUUCGCUCGUUGCGGGACUUAACCCAACAUCUCACGACACGAGCUGACGACAGCCAUGCAACACCUGUGUGUGGUCCAGCCGAACUGAAGGGUCUCAUCUCUGAGACCCGCGACCACCAUGUCAAGGGUUGGUAAGGUUUUUCGCGUAGCAUCGAAUUAAACCGCAUGCUCCACCACUUGUGCGAGCCCCCGUCAAUUCCUUUGAGUUUUAAUCUUGCGAUCGUAGUCCCCAGGCGGAGUGCUUAAUGCGUUAGCUGCGAAACCGAGAAUUUAAUUCCCGAUAUCUAGCACUCAUCGUUUACGGCGUGGACUAC
This 379-nucleotide unclassified non-coding RNA is filed under the name uncultured Rickettsiaceae bacterium. RNAcentral describes it as "contains 16S-23S intergenic spacer region". The record is from RNAcentral. Lineage: Bacteria; Pseudomonadati; Pseudomonadota; Alphaproteobacteria; Rickettsiales; Rickettsiaceae.